RNAcentral lists this ribosomal RNA (253 nucleotides) under uncultured bacterium. Its description in RNAcentral is "partial 16S ribosomal RNA". It matches the Rfam family "Bacterial small subunit ribosomal RNA", at positions 524 to 776 of the family's 1533-position model. The record is from RNAcentral.
UACGUAGGGUGCGAGCGUUAAUCGGAAUUACUGGGCGUAAAGCGUGCGCAGGCGGUUCGCUAAGACCGAUGUGAAAGCCCCGGGCUUAACCUGGGAAUUGCGCUUAAGACUGGACUGCUUGAGUGCGGGAGAGGUGAGUGGAAUUCCCAGUGUAGAGGUGAAAUUCGUAGAUAUUGGGAAGAACACCAGUGGCGAAGGCGGCUCACUGGCCCGCAACUGACGCUGAGGCGCGAAAGCGUGGGGAGCAAACAGG